Molecule: transfer RNA, 72 nt
Filed under: Streptomyces cacaoi
Lineage: Bacteria; Bacillati; Actinomycetota; Actinomycetes; Kitasatosporales; Streptomycetaceae
Also listed under: 1 other name
Description: tRNA-Gly
Rfam family: tRNA
About the family: Transfer RNA (tRNA) molecules are approximately 80 nucleotides in length. Their secondary structure includes four short double-helical elements and three loops (D, anti-codon, and T loops). Further hydrogen bonds mediate the characteristic L-shaped molecular structure. tRNAs have two regions of fundamental functional importance: the anti-codon, which is responsible for specific mRNA codon recognition, and the 3' end, to which the tRNAs corresponding amino acid is attached (by aminoacyl-tRNA synthetases). tRNAs cope with the degeneracy of the genetic code in two manners: having more than one tRNA (with a specific anti-codon) for a particular amino acid; and 'wobble' base-pairing, i.e. permitting non-standard base-pairing at the 3rd anti-codon position.
Source: RNAcentral
GCGGGCGUAGUUUAAUGGUAGAACAUGAGCUUCCCAAGCUCAGAGCGCGGGUUCGAUUCCCGUCGCCCGCUC